AGUUUGAUCAUGGCUCAGAGUGAACGCUGGCGGUAGGCCUAACACAUGCAAGUCGAACGGCAGCACAGAGGGGCUUGCUCCUUGGGUGGCAAGUGGCGGACGGGUGAGGAAUACAUCGGAAUCUACUCUGUCGUGGGGGAUAACGUAGGGAAACUUACGCUAAUACCGCAUACGACCUACGGGUGAAAGCAGGGGGAUCUUCGGACCUUGCGCGAUUGAAUGAGCCGAUGUCGGAUUAGCUAGUUGGCGGGGUAAAGGCCCACCAAGGCGACGAUCCGUAGCUGGUCUGAUNAGGGUGAUCAGCCACACUGGAACUGAGACACGGUCCAGGACUCCUACGGGGAGGCAGCAGAU
Molecule: ribosomal RNA, 354 nt
Filed under: uncultured bacterium
Lineage: Bacteria
Description: bacterial SSU rRNA
Rfam family: Bacterial small subunit ribosomal RNA
Source: RNAcentral